RNAcentral lists this ribosomal RNA (479 nucleotides) under uncultured bacterium. RNAcentral's name for it is "bacterial SSU rRNA". It matches the Rfam family "Bacterial small subunit ribosomal RNA", at positions 28 to 474 of the family's 1533-position model. The record is from RNAcentral.
GACGAACGCUGGCGGCGUGCGUAACACAUGCAAGUCGAACGAGAGAGUGAGAGAAGCUUGCUUUUCUUAUGAUCGAGUGGCAAACGGGUGAGUAACGCGUAAACAACCUGCCCCGCAGAUGGGGACAACAGCUGGAAACGGCUGCUAAUACCGAAUACGCUCCUCUUAGCGCAUGGUAAGAGGAAGAAAGGGUGGCCUCUGGAACAAGCUACCGCUGUGGGAGGGGUUUGCGUCUGAUUAGCUGGUUGGAGGGGUAACGGCCCACCAAGGCGACGAUCAGUAGCCGGUCUGAGAGGAUGAACGGCCACAUUGGAACUGAGACACGGUCCAGACUCCUACGGGAGGCAGCAGUGGGGAAUCUUCCGCAAUGGGCGAAAGCCUGACGGAGCAACGCCGCGUGAGUGAAGACGGCCUUCGGGUUGUAAAGCUCUGUUAUAGGGGACGAACGGCCGGGUAGCGAAGAGGUAGCCGGCANGACG